This 253-nucleotide ribosomal RNA is filed under the name uncultured bacterium. RNAcentral describes it as "partial 16S ribosomal RNA". It matches the Rfam family "Bacterial small subunit ribosomal RNA", at positions 524 to 776 of the family's 1533-position model. The record is from RNAcentral.
UACGAAGGGAGCUAGCGUUGUUCGGAAUCACUGGGCGUAAAGCGCACGUAGGCGGAUGUGUCAGUCAGGGGUGAAAUCCCGGAGCUCAACUUCGGAACUGCCUUUGAUACAGCACGUCUUGAGUCCGGAAGAGGUGGGUGGAAUUCCUAGUGUAGAGGUGAAAUUCGUAGAUAUUAGGAAGAACACCGGUGGCGAAGGCGGCUCACUGGUCCGGUACUGACGCUGAGGUGCGAAAGCGUGGGGAGCAAACAGG